RNAcentral lists this ribosomal RNA (450 nucleotides) under Septorioides strobi. RNAcentral describes it as "eukaryotic LSU rRNA". It matches the Rfam family "Eukaryotic large subunit ribosomal RNA", at positions 455 to 919 of the family's 3401-position model. The record is from RNAcentral. Lineage: Eukaryota; Fungi; Ascomycota; Dothideomycetes; Botryosphaeriales; Septorioideaceae.
CUCAACCCGCCUCCUGGUGGGUGUACUCUUCUGCGGUCAGGCCAGCAUCAGUUCGAGCGGUCGGAUAAAGGCGCCGGGAAUGUAGCUCCUCUCGGGGAGUGUUAUAGCCCGGCGUGGAAUGCGACCUGCUCGGACUGAGGAUCUCGCUUCGGCUAGGAUGCUGGCGUAAUGGUUGUAAGCGGCCCGUCUUGAAACACGGACCAAGGAGUCUAACAUCUAUGCGAGUGUUUGGGUGUCAAACCCAUGCGCGUAAUGAAAGUGAACGGAGGUGGGAACCCGCAAGGGCGCACCAUCGACCGAUCCUGAUGUCUUCGGAUGGAUUUGAGUAUGAGCAUAGCUGUUGGGACCCGAAAGAUGGUGAACUAUGCCUGAAUAGGGUGAAGUCAGAGGAAACUCUGAUGGAGGCUCCAGCGGUUCUGACGUGCAAAUCGAUCGUCAAAUUUGGGUAUA